Molecule: signal recognition particle RNA, 264 nt
Filed under: Dehalococcoidales bacterium
Lineage: Bacteria; Bacillati; Chloroflexota; Dehalococcoidia; Dehalococcoidales
Description: signal recognition particle sRNA large type
Rfam family: Bacterial large signal recognition particle RNA
About the family: The signal recognition particle (SRP) is a universally conserved ribonucleoprotein involved in the co-translational targeting of proteins to membranes. Archaeal SRP consists of a 7S RNA and homologues of the eukaryotic SRP19 and SRP54 proteins. In most bacteria, the SRP consists of a 4.5S RNA and the Ffh protein (a homologue of the eukaryotic SRP54 protein).
Source: RNAcentral
UCGUGCUAGAUGGGGAGCCAGCGGUGCCCUGUAACCUGCAAUCCGCUACAGCAGGGUUGAACUCCGGCUUAAGGCUUUUGUCUGGCAGGACUACUUGGGUUAAGCGGUGUUGAAGACCGGGUUCUGCGCGGCAGAACUCUAUGAACCCCGUCAGGUCCGAAAGGAAGCAGCGGUAAAUAGUCGUUUCUGGGUGCCGCAGGAUUACCUGGUCGGAGCCGGUUGACUCAAGCAAGCUAUCCGACGGGGUCAAGGGCCGGUGCACGA